Molecule: ribosomal RNA, 483 nt
Filed under: uncultured bacterium
Lineage: Bacteria
Description: partial 16S ribosomal RNA
Rfam family: Bacterial small subunit ribosomal RNA
Source: RNAcentral
AUUGAACGCUGGCGGCAGGCCUAACACAUGCAAGUCGAGCGGAUGAAGGGGGCUUGCUCCUGGAUUCAGCGGCGGACGGGUGAGUAAUGCCUAGGAAUCUGCCUGGUAGUGGGGGAUAACGUCCAGAAACGGGCGCUAAUACCGCAUACGUCCUGAGGGAGAAAGUGGGGGAUCUUCGGACCUCACGCUAUCAGAUGAGCCUAGGUCGGAUUAGCUAGUUGGUGGGGUAAAGGCCUACCAAGGCGACGAUCCGUAACUGGUCUGAGAGGAUGAUCAGUCACCCUGGAACGGAGACACGGUCCAGACUCCUACGGGAGGCAGCAGUGGGGAAUAUUGGACAAUGGGCGAAAGCCUGAUCCAGCCAUGCCGCGUGUGUGAAGAAGGUCUUCGGAUUGUAAAGCACUUUAAGUUGGGAGGAAGGGCAGUAAGUUAAUACCUUGCUGUUUUGACGUUACCAACAGAAUAAGCACCGGCUAACUUCGU